RNAcentral lists this ribosomal RNA (229 nucleotides) under uncultured bacterium. RNAcentral's name for it is "partial 16S ribosomal RNA". It matches the Rfam family "Bacterial small subunit ribosomal RNA", at positions 524 to 751 of the family's 1533-position model. The record is from RNAcentral.
UACGUAGGGUGCGAGCGUUGUCCGGAAUUAUUGGGCGUAAAGGGCUCGUAGGCGGUUCGUCGCGUCGGGAGUGAAAUCCACUGGCUUAACUGGUGGCUUGCUUUCGAUACGGGCAGACUGGAGGUAUGCAGGGGAAGACGGAAUUCCUGGUGUAGCGGUGAAAUGCGUACGAUAUCAGGAGGAACACCUGCGGUGUAGACGGCUUUCUGGACCAUUGUUGACGCUGAGA